GGGGAAUUUUGGGCAAUGGGCGAAAGCCUGACCCAGCGACGCCGCGUGCGGGAGGACGCCCUUCGGGGUGUAAACCGCUGUCAGAGGGGACGAAACCCCGUCAUGUGAAUAGCAUGGCGGCUUGACGGUACCCUCAAAGGUAGCACCGGCUAACUCCGUGCCAGCAGCCGCGGUCAUACGGAGGGUCCAAGCGUUGUCCGGAUUUAUUGGGUGUAAAGGGUGUGUAGGCGGGCUUGCAAGUCAGAGGUGAAAGCCUGCGGCUCAACCGUAGAAUUGCCUCUGAUACUGCAGGUCUUGAGUCCUGGAGAGGUUGUCGGAAUUCGUGGUGUAGCGGUGAAAUGCGUAGAUAUCACGAGGAACACCGGUUACGAAGGUGGACAACUGGACAGGUACUGACGCUGAGGCACGAAAGCGUGGGGAGCAA
RNAcentral lists this ribosomal RNA (424 nucleotides) under uncultured bacterium. RNAcentral's name for it is "bacterial SSU rRNA". It matches the Rfam family "Bacterial small subunit ribosomal RNA", at positions 356 to 771 of the family's 1533-position model. The record is from RNAcentral.